Long non-coding RNA from Lycium ferocissimum, 1037 nucleotides. RefSeq lists it as uncharacterized. The record is from RefSeq and is a predicted model, not a curated record. The transcript is spliced from 3 exons. NCBI's taxonomy places the organism in Eukaryota, Viridiplantae, Streptophyta, Magnoliopsida, Solanales, Solanaceae.
UUCACUAAUAAGAAUAUAAUAUUAUGUUUAAAUUUGAUCUGAAAAUACACGUCAUUUUCUUUUAAACAGAAUAGCUAACCUUUUUCCUUUAUUUCGCUCAAUCUCUUCCUUCCCCCUCCAUUUUCUCACAAAUUACGAUUAGCUUUACUCUGAAACUUGUCAGGUUUGUCGACUCCAUCUCGGGCAUCUGCCCAAAAAUCUCGCAACCCAAAAGUCUCACAAGAUUCCGAUGCUGAAGCUUGGCAAUGUAGAUAACUUCGUUCUUCAAUUCAUCAAGUCCUUGCAUGGAAGACCUUGAUAGUCUCUUCACAGCAAUUUCUUGUCCUUCUUCCAGCACCCCCUAGAAAUGGCAAAAGUAUAUCAGUAGAUAGCAUUAACUGGUUACUAUUCCAAAAUUUUGCAGUGUAUACCUUGUAUACAGGUCCAAAUCCACCCUCUCCAAUCUUGUUGUUUACUGAAAAGUUAUUUGUGGCUUUUGUUAUUGUCGAUAGUUGGAACAGUGGCAGCUCAAAAUCUUCUUUGUGUUUCAGUUUCUUCUUCUUUUUCCGUCUGUACAAGAACAGAAUCAGGCCUAGCAGACACAUUGCCAUCAACAAUGAGAAACUCAUUUAGUUGUUUAGGUAUCCCACUCCAUCGAAAACCAUUCCAUGGUCCUGCACGGACUGAUACUCUUGUGCCACGCUUGGUGAGGGCCUGUGGAUAUCCAGUAGGGUCAAUGUGACGAGUGAAUUCUCCUGGAGCUGGAUCAUUAUCGUUCUUCCAUGCUGAAAGGUAACUCUCAUGGCCAGUUUUAAAAUUCUUGCCAAGCUUCAUACCAGGCAAGUGCGUAUCAGUAGGAAAAUUGAAGCUCUGCCAGAGGAAAUUUUGUGGGUUGCCAUCAUUUGCAUCUUUUACAACAAGAUUACCAGAAUCUAAAAGAAGUGCAACUGGAUUUUGGAUUGAUCUUGAGGUGUUAGUGGACCAUAUAAUUUCAUUCUUGUCAUUGAGAAGGGCAAGUAUUCCCGGCUUGGUGACCUUCAAAGCAACUGAAGAUGUAC